AAGUUAAUGAGUUGAAGUUGUACAGUGAACCAUCUCCCACCUUUGACACUUCGCGCUCCCCAUCCAAACGGUACCGAUCCGCCGGCCGCCGUUCUCCAUUUCAAAUUGCAAACCCGUUCUCCUUUUCCGCCUCCUCGACGCAACUCGUCGCCGUCUUCUCCAACUCGCACCUCGUUCCUCGCCCCACCAUUUGCCGCUCCCGCCUACGAUGCCGACGAGUGAGGUGUGGAGCUUGUCCGAUUUUGAAAUCAGCAAGUACAUCGCUGAGGGCAGGUUCGGCAAGGUCUACCUCGCCCGCGAGAAGCAGAGCGGGUACGUGGUGGCGCUCAAGGUGAUAUUUAAGGCGAAACUGAAGAAGCACCGCUUCCACGCGCACCUGCGGCGGGAGAUCGAGAUCCAGCAGAGUCUCGAUCACCCUAACGUGCUCCGCCUCUUCACCUGGUUCCACGACGAAGAGCGAGUCGUCCUCGUCCUCGAGUACGCGGCCCGUGGCGAGCUCUACAAGGUCCUUCGCGCUGCUGGCCGCUUCACCGAGCGCACGUCCGCCACGUAUGUAGCGAGUCUUGCUGGUGCACUGGCAUACUGUCACAAAAAGCAAGUCAUUCAUAGGGACAUCAAGCCUGAGAAUUUGCUAAUCGACAUCGAGGGCCGGCUUAAAAUUGCAGAUUUUGGAUGGGCGGCUCGUUCAAAUGCUAAACGCCACACACUCUGUGGCACAAUCGAUUAUCUGGCACCAGAGAUGGUAGAGAAAAGAGCUCAUGACCAUGCUGUGGACAACUGGACAUUAGGAAUCCUGUGCUAUGAGUUCUUAUAUGGUUCACCUCCUUUUGAAGCUGAUGAACAGGAUGAUACCUUGAGAAGGAUAGUUAGGGUGGAUUUGGCAUUCCCUUCAUCUCCUUGUGUAUCUUCAGAGGCUAAGGAUCUCAUUUCCAAGUGUGAUUGUGUAUGCAGCUUCUAGUUAAGGAUUCAAGCAAGAGGCUUUGCCUUGAAGACAUCAUGAAGCAUCCAUGGAUAAAGAAGAAUGCAGACCCUUCAGGCAGUUGCAUUAAGCAAAAAGAUGUCACAAGAUCAAAGCUUCUGUAAUAUCAGUACAACCUGCUUGCCAGUGGGCAAGAAUCUUCUGAUGUGGUGCCAAACUCGUCACUACUGGAGGACAAAUAUGAUGACAUGUAGUUUUAAGUUCCGAUAGUUCUGGAGUGGAUUGGUGUGUGUGUCCCUGCAAGCUUUCUCCUACAGGCUGGAGUUCUAGUUCUGAUGCAGCGUUUGUGUUUCCCUUUUGAACUGUGUCGUGAAACCAAUGUUCACUCGAGAGGAAUGUAGUUUUCAACUGAGUUGUUGAACCUUCGCAAAUUGGAGGGUCAAUGGUCUGUGGAGACUGGAGAGGAACGUGGCUUUCGCUGUGGCGAUCGUAUUUUGUAAUUGUUGAAUCUGCAGUAUUUUGGUCUUUAGCAAUGAAAUAUGGAGAUGCACGUAGUUUUUCUA
Molecule: RNA transcript, 1482 nt
Organism: Zea mays
Lineage: Eukaryota; Viridiplantae; Streptophyta; Magnoliopsida; Poales; Poaceae
Gene name: serine/threonine-protein kinase 12
Exons: 7
Source: RefSeq, marked validated